GAUGAAGAACGCAGCGAAAUGCGAUAAGUAAUGUGAAUUGCAGAAUUCAGUGAAUCAUCGAAUCUUUGAACGCACCUUGCGCUCCUUGGUAUUCCGAGGAGCAUGCCUGUUUGAGUGUCAUUAAAUUCUCAACCAUUAUCAACUUUUGCUGAUAAUGGCUUGGAUGUGGGGGUCUAUUUUGCUGGCUUCUCAGAUAGUCAGCUCCCCUUAAAUGCAUUAGCCGGUGCCCCGCGUGGACUGUCUAUUGGUGUGAUAAUUAUCUACGCUAUAGACAUCUGCAAUCAUAUGGGUUUGCGCUGCUUCUAACAGUCUGUUGAUUCAGACAAUACAUGACAAUUUGACCUCAAAUCAGGUAGGACUACCCGCUGAACUUAAGCAUAUCAAUAAGCGGAGGA
This 395-nucleotide unclassified non-coding RNA is filed under the name soil metagenome. Its description in RNAcentral is "partial contains 5.8S ribosomal RNA, internal transcribed spacer 2, and large subunit ribosomal RNA". The stretch from base 1 to 120 matches the Rfam family "5.8S ribosomal RNA", at positions 35 to 154 of the family's 154-position model. The record is from RNAcentral.